GCAGACUGCACAGAUGGUGCACGGAAAGGCUUUUAACAGAAAUGAACACUUUGAGACCAGUUUUGAAGGACUGAGUAGGAGUAAACCAAAAGAGAAAAAGCAGGACAAAAGAAGCACCGUGUUGGAAGCUCAAAGCCACACUGGAAACACAGCCUUCCAGGAUGUCUUGAAAGGGGCAAGUCUGUUUGUGUGGGGUAGCAAAUGCAGAGAGACAAACGGGCAGAGAAGAGACUGCAGAGGGCUCUGUGUGCUGAGAUGAGGGUGCAGACUAGAUUAAAAAUUUUUUUUUUUUUUUUUUUGUAGAGACAAGGUUUCACCAUGUUGGCCAGGAUGGUCUCGAUCUCCUGACCUCAUGAUCCACCUGCCUUGGCCUCCCAAAGUACUGGGAUUACAGGCGUGAGCCACUGCGCCCAGCCAGCAGACUAGAUUUUUAAAUCGAGAAUGCAACAGGGAAGGAUUUCAAGCUUGGAGUGAGAGGGAAGACUACGAGCCUGCAGUGAUAAGGCAAAGCUGAAGAUUUCAGAGCAAAGGCCAUGCCCUACAGUUGCCAUGGAAUGGGGUGGCUCAGUUGGCUUUGGAGGUUGGGGAGCUGUGCUUUGGAAAAGCGAUGACGAGGUAACAGGAAAUCUCUUCCCCUCCUAAGUCCUGUGUUCAUGGAGGAGGGUGGGAGGCUGAGUUUUCUCCUCUUGGGAGGGAGUUACAUCCAAGUUUAAGGGAAAAGAGUCUGAAUUUUCCACCUAAAUAAUUCUGAAAGAAUCAGGUUAAGAAGCAAAUCUGCUCUGAUGUGAUGCCAAUUAAGUACAUGAUCUGAUUGUUCCAGUUAUCCUGUGCCAAAAAGAAGCAAAAAAUGGGCUUUCCACGGAUUAUUGAACACAGUGGGUGUCAGUGUGCCUGAGAAACAAACUAGUAUUAAAAGCUUUCUAGGCAAUUUGAAUCAGGUUGCUGAGCUUUGAAAAACAUUCUACAGCCAAGUGUAGGAGACCAAAGAACUUGGAGAACAUACGUGCUCUGAGCUAUUUCAAAAAAUGCUGCACUUAAGCUAAUUGAGCUGUCGUCAGGGCAACACGGACGUGAAGAACAGGAAGGUAGAUUUUAGCGGAAGAGAAGAACAGGCAAGGGAUGGAGUCACGUGCAUUUGGAACACAGGACAAACAUAAGCCCUGUUUAUCUCAAUAAAGUAAGCACAGUUGGGCAUUCUGUGGGGCGAGAUCAUUUGCUGGAAUUUAGAUGAGGCCAAGAACAAUCCAUGGAUAUCAAAUCCACACAUAAGCCUCUGCUAGAAUUGUGCUAGAGUAAGGGCAGUCCUGGAAUUCCUCCAGGCGGUCUGGUUUUCUCCAGAUGUCUGGUUUCCAGGUGAAUGAACUGAAGAAAGAUCAAGAAAUACAUGGUGGGUAAGAGGUAAGAGAGAAAGCCUGUUUAAGUUAAAUCCGAUCUCCUCACACAUAAACCGACUCAAUGACUUCUGAAGCUUCCUCUUGUCUCUAACAUACAAUAAUUGAGUUAAAGAAAUAUAAUAUUCUUGUUUCAGGAAUAAGGACUAAUUGUUUUGGCCCCAAAAAAAUAAAAGAUAAAAGAACUA
This is a long non-coding RNA of Callithrix jacchus (white-tufted-ear marmoset), 1579 nucleotides long. RefSeq lists it as uncharacterized. NCBI's taxonomy places the organism in Eukaryota, Metazoa, Chordata, Mammalia, Primates, Cebidae. The record is from RefSeq and is a predicted model, not a curated record.